RNAcentral lists this ribosomal RNA (1947 nucleotides) under Trigonorhinus tomentosus. RNAcentral describes it as "eukaryotic LSU rRNA". It matches the Rfam family "Eukaryotic large subunit ribosomal RNA", at positions 52 to 1616 of the family's 3401-position model. Lineage: Eukaryota; Metazoa; Arthropoda; Insecta; Coleoptera; Anthribidae. The record is from RNAcentral.
GGAGGAAAAGAAACUAACUAGGAUUCCCUCAGUAGCUGCGAGCGAACAGGGAAAAGCCCAGCACCGAAUCCCGCGACCGACACCGGGCGCCGGGAAAUGUGGUGUUAGGGAGGGUCAAGUCCCGAGGUCGUGCGGCAAGUCCAAGUCCAUCUUGAACGGGGCCACAGCCCAUAGAGGGUGCCAGGCCCGUAGCGACGGCUGCCGAUCCCGGGAAUUCUUCUCCUUAGAGUCGGGUUGCUUGAGAGUGCAGCCCUAAGCGGGUGGUAAACUCCAUCUAAGGCUAAAUAUGACCACGAGACCGAUAGCGAACAAGUACCGUGAGGGAAAGUUGAAAAGCACUUUGAAGAGAGAGUUCAAGAGUACGUGAAACCGUUCAGGGGUAAACCUGAGAAACCCGAAAGGUCGAAAGCGGAAAUUCAUUCGCGUUUCGAUCGCGAACGCGCGACGGCGACGACCGAAGAUCUCCGGAUCUGAGGCGAUCUUUCGUUGCGCAGAAUUUGCGUCGAACGUGUGCACUUUUCUGCUUGUAGAACGUCGCGAUUCGUUGGGUGUCGAUCUAAGGCCCGCGGUGGAGCCCGUGCGCGCGUUGUUUCGGCAGCGUCGCGCUCGGACCCGCGGUGUCCCGGUCGGCUCGCUCGACGGUAUACGCUGGGCGCGAGGCCGCUAUUUAGUUAGCGUCCGGCCCGUCGCAAGCGCGCCGGAUCGCCGAAGAUCGGACCUAGUGCCGAUCCCGGCCUCCGGUGACUGUUGGCGGCGUGGUCCUCGGACAGACCUCGUUCUGAAACGCCAAUCGGCGACGCUAUAGCUUUGGGUACUUUCAGGACCCGUCUUGAAACACGGACCAAGGAGUCUAGCAUGUGCGCGAGUCAUUGGGACAUCACUAAACCUAAAGGCGCAAUGAAAGUAAAGGUUCGCCUAGCGCGGACCGAGGGAGGAUGGGCGGCGUUUUGCGCCGCUCCGCACUCCCGGGGCGUCUCGUUCUCAUUGCGAGAAGAGGCGCACCAAGAGCGUACACGCUGGGACCCGAAAGAUGGUGAACUAUGCCUGGUCAGGACGAAGUCAGGGGAAACCCUGAUGGAGGUCCGUAGCGAUUCUGACGUGCAAAUCGAUCGUCGGAACUGGGUAUAGGGGCGAAAGACUAAUCGAACCAUCUAGUAGCUGGUUCCCUCCGAAGUUUCCCUCAGGAUAGCUGGCGCUCGUUUUGAACGAGUCUCAUCCGGUAAAGCGAAUGAUUAGAGGCAUUGGGGUCGAAACGACCUCAACCUAUUCUCAAACUUUAAAUGGGUGAGAUCUCCGGCUUGCUUAACCGCGCUGAAGCCGGAGAAACGGAUCAGAGUGCCAAGUGGGCCAUUUUUGGUAAGCAGAACUGGCGCUGUGGGAUGAACCAAACGCCGAGUUAAAGCGCCUAAACCGACGCUUAUGGGAUACCAUGAAAGGCGUUGGUAACUUAAGACAGCAGGACGGUGGCCAUGGAAGUCGGAAUCCGCCAAGGAGUGUGUAACAACUCACCUGCCGAAGUUACUAGCCCUGAAAAUGGAUGGCGCUGAAGCGUCGUGCUUAUACUCGGCCGUCGGCGGCAUGUACGACUUUCUUCGGAAAUUCAUGAAGCCCCGACGAGUAGGAGGGUCGCGGCGGUGAGCGCAGAAGGGCUGGCCGUGAGGCCGUCUGGAGCCGCCGUCGGUGCAGAUCUUGGUGGUAGUAGCAAAUACUCCAGCGAGGCCCUGGAGGACUGACGUGGAGAAGGGUUUCGUGUGAACAGCCGUUGCACACGAGUCAGUCGAUCCUAAGCCCUAGGCGAAAGCCGAUGUUGAUGCGGUGUAGGUUUAUAACUGACGCAACUACGACGACGACGACCGCACGCAACAUCAGUUGUCGCGCAGUUGUCGUUGUUUGUGUAAUGACACAGUUGGCACACACCCGUCGGGCGAAAGGGAAUCCGGUUCCUAU